Molecule: long non-coding RNA, 722 nt
Organism: Acinonyx jubatus (cheetah)
Lineage: Eukaryota; Metazoa; Chordata; Mammalia; Carnivora; Felidae
Exons: 5
Source: RefSeq, a predicted model, not a curated record
CACCAUUUCACAAUCAAAGACUUAAUAAUUCAAAAGGUUAAAUUCAAAAUAAAAGUUAUGAACCAAAAAGUUAUUAUUAAUUCUAGAAAGCAGUUUCACAUUGAUAAUGCGUUUGAUUUUCACAGAUAAGCAGCGCGUUAAUUGUUUUUAAUUUUUCGAGCUAUCUUGGCAUUCAUGUCAUAUGGAAAACUGAAGGAGCAGAGGGAGGCAGUUACUUCCAGAAGAGGUCAGAGAGCAUAAUCAGGGGACAGAACUAGCUCUCUCUCAUGGUGUUUUCCUGCUUCAUCUGAUGCCAAGAUAGGCAAUUUUCCUUUUGGUUCCCAUUGGAUGGAGUACCAGAGAGGGAAGAAUGCCAAGGGAAGAUGGAGGCAGGCAUUGACGGAUGUUCCCACAAGCCAGGACACUUGGAGUGAGGAACCGGAAUGGCAGGAGUCACCAGAAGCUGCAAGAGGUUCCUUAUCUUUUCAGUGCUCUGUUCUUACCCUGGGAACCCGGAAGAUGACAACCAUGUUGAGCAGGAGGCACAGGAGGUAAGUCAGGGUUAGUCAGGUGUGUCUCAAGCAGAGUGGAUGCAGGUACGAAAGUGCCUAAUGCUGAGAUCUGAGACUCUUUCAGAAAGCGCUUAUUUGUUUGAAUUAAGUUGUGAUUAAGGUAGAGAUUGCAUAAGAAAUGUGCCCCUUCUCAAAACUCAGAGUCACCUUUGUGUAACACUCGGGACCUUU